This 614-nucleotide ribosomal RNA is filed under the name Macrophomina phaseolina. Its description in RNAcentral is "eukaryotic LSU rRNA". It matches the Rfam family "Eukaryotic large subunit ribosomal RNA", at positions 38 to 667 of the family's 3401-position model. Lineage: Eukaryota; Fungi; Ascomycota; Dothideomycetes; Botryosphaeriales; Botryosphaeriaceae. The record is from RNAcentral.
GCAUAUCAAUAAGCGGAGGAAAAGAAACCAACAGGGAUUGCCUUAGUAACGGCGAGUGAAGCGGCAACAGCUCAAAUUUGAAAGCUGGCUCCUUCGGAGUCCGCGUUGUAAUUUGUAGAGGAUGAUUCGGCGAGGGCUCCCGCCUAAGUCCCCUGGAACGGGGCGUCAUAGAGGGUGAGAAUCCCGUAUGCGGUGGGUUGCCUUAGCCAUGUGAAUCUCCUUCGACGAGUCGAGUUGUUUGGGAAUGCAGCUCUAAAUGGGAGGUAAAUUUCUUCUAAAGCUAAAUACCGGCCAGAGACCGAUAGCGCACAAGUAGAGUGAUCGAAAGAUGAAAAGCACUUUGGAAAGAGAGUUAAAAAGUACGUGAAAUUGUUGAAAGGGAAGCGCUUGCAGCCAGACUUGUCCGCAGUUGCUCAACCGGUCUCCUGACCGGUGUACUCUUCUGCGGCCAGGCCAGCAUCAGUUCGGGCGGUCGGAUAAAGGCCCUGGGAAUGUAGCUCCUCUCGGGGAGUGUUAUAGCCCAGGGUGGAAUGCGGCCAGCCUGGACUGAGGAUCUCGCUUCGGCUAGGAUGCUGGCGUAAUGGCUGUAAGCGGCCCGUCUUGAAACACGGACC